Neofelis nebulosa (Clouded leopard) is the source of this 18833-nucleotide long non-coding RNA. RefSeq lists it as uncharacterized. The record is from RefSeq and is a predicted model, not a curated record. Lineage: Eukaryota; Metazoa; Chordata; Mammalia; Carnivora; Felidae. The transcript has 3 exons.
AUUCUUUUUUAAAAAUUAUUGUUGAAUUUGAUGUCCUUUUUAUUUUUUAUUUAUUUAUUUAUUUAUGUAUUUAUUUAUUUUAACGUUUAUUCAUUUUUGAGACAGAGAGAGACAGAGCAUGAACAGGGGAGGGGCAGAGAGAGAGGGAGACACAGAAUCGGAAGCAGGCUCCAGGCUCUGAGCUGUCAGCACAGAGCCCGACGCGGGACUUGAACUCACGGACGGUGAGAUCAUGACCUGAGCCGAAGUCGGACGCUUAACCGCCCAAGCCACCCAGGCGCCCCUGAUGUCUUUUUAUGGUAGUGUUCCCCCCCCUAAAAUCUUGAUGAUACUUGGUUUCCACUUAGCUUUGUGUUGAAAUUUUCUGGCCGUGUGCCCAUCAUAUCUUGUGUUCUGGGGAGAUGUGAGAGUGAAUUGGAGAAGCCAUGUUGGUAAGGGAAUCUACCUUUAGCUUCUCCUGAGUACGGAAGCCUUUAGUGCCCAUGGGGAUGUGUAAUUCCCCAGAUCUUGCUUUUCCAGCACCAAUGUCUACACUCAAGCUUUUUCCAUGGGCAAAACCCCAGUUCAACAAAUAGCCCACUUCCCCCCCUCUCCCAAGUCAUCUUCCCAUUCAUCACCUUCUGUGUAUGCUACUCUUUAGCUUCAUCGCGUCUGAGCUGAGUGCUCUUCUGGGUGCUCUUAAUGUGCUCCCCACAUUAAGCUUUGUUUCCCUUUCUUGAUUCAUCCAUAGUGCUGACCCUUAGGGCUUUCUGUUAGUAAUUCUUCAACUGUUCUGGUCCGUUGGGGACACUCUUGUUUUCCAAGAUAAUGUUAAUUUAUUGUUGAUAUUGAUCAGGCUUAAAGUUUGCCUCAGCUCCAAAAACACAAAGUCUGACAUAAAGUAUGUCUCCUGAUCCAGUCUUUUAACCGUCCCUUUGAUGUUUGAUAUUAACUUUUCAUAUCUUGAAUCAUCAGCUCUCCUAAAGUGGGUAAAUAGUAUCUCCAUUACAGGUAUUCUUAUUUUAGCAGAGCAGUAUAGAUUUUUUUGCUUAGAAAAAGUAAGAAGUCCCAAGCAUAUACACUUAUGUUUUUCUUGUGGAAUUAUUUGUGUUUUUAAUGUAGGGUGGGUCAUAGUUAAUGCUUAAUAUAUAUAUAGUUAAUGCUUAAUAUAUGUGGUGUGUAUUUCCUUCUGGUCUUAUCUAGGUAAUUUCUAUAUCACCAGGUGAAGUAGUAAAUUUCAAGUCCAGCACAUUGGUUCUUAUCUACAUGAUAGAUUUCCGUGUCCUUUUAUUUUCUACAGGAUUAUCAGGGCAGACACUCCACUCAUGUCUUUACGAGAAUUGGCUUCUAUCCCUUAGUAGAUAGAAACAAGCAAAGACUGUUGAAUAAACAGGGUCAAAAGCCAAAAAACCCAUCUUCUGAACGUCCCUCCGUGAAGUGAGGCUUGUUGCUUUCGCCUUUGUGUUUCUGCAUUCUCUUUGCAGCUUUGCCUAAUUGCCCAGAUUACAAUCUAUAUCUCCUUCAAGUACUAGUGCAGAAGAGCCUUCUGGGGAGGUUAUCCGAGGAAAGACUGAAUCUCUAAUAAAAUGAACGCUGACCUAGAACCAGACAAAAACCGUGUGUUGGUGGGAAUUCUUUCCCCCAGGGGAUCAAAAUCAACAGUGGCACACUUCCCACGACUAAACAGAAAACCCCCUCAAAAGCAAAGCCCAUCAGAAACAAGUUUCAAUAGGAAUGAUUUCACGAACUCAGAGAAGACCAGGAGAGCAGAGAAAAACCAUCGAGAAAUCUCUGCAGUGACUACAUAGGAGUCAUUACAGGAAAGACUGGGGACAUUUGCCUUCAUUUGUUCUGGCAUGAGAGAUAAAUCGGGGCCUGCUUUUCUCUGCAGCCUUACGUAACAGUCUUACUUUUUCAGGUUGAAUGGAGCUCACAGUGGUUCCUAACCUCAUUCUCUUCUAACUAAAAUUGUGACUCAUUUUAGAUAUGUAAUUGCCUUAGUCUUUCGUUUUUCAGUGGAGCUAAAGGGAGGGAGGAGGAGGGAGGGGUAGAAGGAGAUGGGAGGGGCAGGUCCUUAAGGGGAAGCCCAAAAGACGGGAUGAAAGGUACUAAUGCUGGCAAAGAAGCCCAGGCUUCUGCCUGCUUGGGUUUCUGGGACUCAAUCCUCCUCUGCUUGGAAUGUUGCCUCCUUUCUAUCUGGGCUUGAACGUCAUCUCCUCUGGGCAGGCUGCCCUGCCCCCACCCCCACCCAGGCCAAACCUGUCCCUAACUUUCUGUCCUUAUCCUGCUUUAGAUACUCAUGUGAUUACGUCCCCUACUGGACCUGAAGGUCACAAAGACAGUGUCUUGAUUUUGCUAAUAAGCCACACGGCCAAGUGACUAGAGCAUCAGCAGCGUACUUUGCUGAAGGGGAGGAUGACUUUUCUCCCCGUCAUCUAAACUGACAUUCUGGGGCGCCUGGGUGACUCAGUCAGUUAAGACUCUGGCUCCUGAUUUGGGCUCAGGACAUGAUCUCCUGGUGGUGGGAUCGAGCCCCACCGUCAGGCUCCACACCAGGUGUUAGGGAUUCUCUCUCUCCUCUCUCUCUCUGCCUCACCCCUGCUCUUGCACCUGCGUGCUCUCUCUCUCUCUCUCUCAAAAAAAAAAAAAAUUAAUACAUAAGAAAUAAACCGACAAUCUGAUUAGGUGUGCGUCUGAGUCAUUGGGGAAAGUGAAGUGUGCCUGGAGCUCAGCAGAAUGUUUUCCGUUUUCGCCUUGUCUCCCUUGAGUUUCCAUUUUCAUGCACCUGCUCCUCUCUCAAGCUUGGCCUCAAAGUGCAAAACAUGACUUUGCUAUUCUGCUGAAGGGCUUCUGCCUUUUUGUUAUCUGUUUAAACAUCUCCCUAACAACAUUGGUUUUCUUUGUAGAAUACAAUAAGAACGCAGUUAUAAAGUCCCUGGGGUAAAUUGGUUAUACGUUUUCUGAACUGGAAAUGAAAUAUUAAUGACAUAAGAGUUCAGACACUUAUAUUGAUAUUCCUGCAGGAAGUAGUCUCUUUGGAUAUCGAAUUUGUGACAUACUCUUUUCGAGACAAGGAAUAUUUUGACUGCAAAAAGUAAGCAGAGGGGGGAGUUUUUUAAAAUGAUAAUAGAAAAGCCCAAUUAUCAUUCAAAAUAGAAUUUGUCACCCUGAUAAUUUAAUGUUACCAAGUGAAGCAUCAUCUUCACAAAAGUUUAAAAUUGAGGGGAAAUAAAAACUCUGUGAAGCAAUUUUGCCUAAAGAAUUAACUAAAUGUAAUAAUUUAAUACGAAAGAGCUUUUAGGGGCACCUGGCUGGCUCAGUUGGUAGAGUGUAUGACUCUUGAUCUUGGAGUUGUGAUUAAGAGUCUCUUUCCAGGGUGCCUGGGUGGCUCAGUCAGUUAAACAUCUGACUCUUGAUUUUGGCUCAGGUCAUGAUUUCAUGGUUCAUGGGAUCAAGCUCUGUGCUGACAGCAUGGAGCCUACUUGGGAUUCUCUCUCUCUCUCUCUCUCUCUCUCUGUCUUCCUUCCACCCGCCUCAAAAUAAGUAAAAAUUAAAAAAAAAAAAAAAGGUUCUCUCUCCCCCUCUCCCCCAUCUGUGUGCUCUCUCUCUCUCUCAAAUUAAAAAAAAAAAGAAAAGAAGUAUACUAACUUGGACAAGUCUGUAUAUGAAGGUUAACUGUCUUCUAUUGUAGUCUGGCCAUGAAUACAGAGGAAACGAUUGUGUUGAAGCAAACACACCCAUUUGGUCAUUUAUGGAUAUAGCACAUUAAUAGCUGGAGAAUAUCCAACACCUGCUGAGAUCAUAGCAUUGUAUUAUUUAAAUUAAGCCUAACCUGCUCUAUCAUGUUCAAGGUUCAAAUAAGGUCACAUCUCCCUUUAAUCAAUGGGGCCCUACUUGCCAGCUUAUGCGACGAAUCUGCUUUCUCCCCUGGGGGGCUUUCUCGAGAACAUCAACGGGUUACACAGCCGAGCCUGGCCAGGCCUGUUUCCAAACAUCUCGCCAACAGAAUCUGAAGAAUACGAUUAGUCCGCUGAUGGAGCUCACAUUUGCUGAGGUUGCUGCUUCCACAGAUGCCCUCGGUUUAUGCUUAUAUGUUCUGCCUCAGUUCCCAAAGCACGGCUUUCUUGCCAGGAUAAGCCGUGCAUUCCGCUGGAACCAGCUGUCAGUAAUCUAGACCCUGAUAUCAGGCCUUGGAGUCCAAGCAAGUUUGUCUUUUCUUUCUUGGCAAGAUUCCCCUUGCAUACUGUUUCAACCCCUUAAGGAGAAUCAGGACCCCAAAGGGUAGGACUUGUAAGCCUCUCCACGUUCCCCAAAGCUCCCAGUUCUUCAAGCAGAUUAUACCACCCUCUCCUCAAAAAUGGACCACUCCUGUUGGGGCUCCUGGGUGUCUCAGUCAGUUAAGCGUCCGACUUCAGCUCAGGUCAUGAUCUCACGGUUCAUGGGUUCAAGCCCCGCGUCGGCCUCUGUGCUGACAGCUCAGAGCCUGGAGGCUGCUUCAGAUUCUGCGUCUCCCUCUCUCUGCCCCUCCCCUGCUCAUGCUCUGUCUCUCAAAAAUAAACAAAUGUUAAAAAAAAAUUUUUUUUUUUAAAUGUACCACUCCUGCCUACCAUGGAGUAUUGGAGAAGCAUACGUUGGUAAACCAGAAACAUACCAACUUCAACCAAAAAUAAAAAUGAAGAAGCAAUGCUUCCUUAAACCAAGAAAAUAUGCUUUGGUUUAUUUACUACUACCAUCUAGGAUGAGAGGUGACCUACAUUAGUUAAAUAGCAAUCUCUCUAGGUAAAUUAAAUUCAGCACUAAGCGGUAAAACAAUAUACAACGUACACCAGAGUUCAAAACCAGUUUAUUACUCCACCCUUUCUUGCACCAACAUCACUUUCUUCCAAGUUUGUGCAUAUAUUAUCUGUAUCUCUGGAUGAAGGACCUUUUUAAUCUGACUCAUUAACGAAGAAUGGGGCUACCUUUACAGCUUUCAAAUGUAUAUUUCAUGGUACAGACAGCCAAGAAAUAGCUCUUAACUCAAACUAUAACUUCCUGUAGCUUUGAAAUCCUUAUUUAACUUCAAAGGCUCUCUUCUUGGAAAAGAAUUAUGAAUCAAAUCUAAGUAAUCUGACUAAAAAUCAGUAGGAAAUAGGAGGGAUUUGUUGCAGAUGGGUUACAAUUUGAUUAUUUCCCUCAUGCUCUGUAAAUCGUGACAGUCUGACCAUAAUCAGAUGUAGACUUAAUAUCUGAAUCAAAUAAAAUCAAAUAAACCAAGAGACCUCUUUAGUUAUCUUUCCACCUAGUUUUUAAUAUGAUGUCUUUAGAUUCUGAAUCUUCAUGGUAGGGGCUUUUAAAUAUACUUUCUUAAAAAAAAGCAUGUCUGGUUUUUAUUUUCCUCUUAAUAUUUAUGUAUGCGCUCCGUAAUCAUCAGGGCUGGAAGUUAUUUUCCCCUGUAACUUUUAACUUAAAAUCUUAUUUAGGGGAACAAAGACUUUCUGUUUCUAGUCACUUAUGGAGUCUCUUUGUGGAUUUCAAGAAUUAAACAGUUGUUUGAAAUGUACGUAUUGCUUUUAUGUACAUGUCUCUAGAUUUCAGUAUAGUAUAAAAGACUGGGAAAUACCACACGUGUAGUUCCAAAUACUUUACAUACUGUAUGUAUUAUGUUUGUAUUUUACAUAUUUGUAUUUGAACUGAUUUGUUAAGUAGUAUUUAAGUAUUUAGUUUUUAAGUAAUAAGUAUUAAGUAUUUAAGUAAGGAGCCAGUCAAAACUAAAACCUUUCUGUAGAAUUUUGCAGGAAACCCACUCAGGGUAGAACCUGUGCCUUCGGUAACCAAGUCCACCUUAACCAAGGUCUUUCAAAAUGUAUUAGAAGUUCAUUUUCAAGGUCAGAACCCUAUGUAUAUGCUACUCUCAGACAUUGACCUCAGUUGGAUUUUAUGUCAGAGUCCGCACAUCAGCAACAUGUCACCUGGCAUGGAGGAAAGAAGACUCUUUUUGUAAGUGACAGAACGUUUUGUAAGUGACAGAAAAACACCUGUAACUAAUUUCGACAGUGAAAGGCAUUUAUCGACUCACAUAAUUAAAAGUCUCAAGACAGAUAGCCUUCAGACAAGGUUUGAGCUGACAAUUCAGACAUCACCAGGAGGAGACCAUCUUCUGGUUGGUUCCCCAGGGCAUCCCACCACCCUCUACCCACCCCGGAGCUUCAGGUAGCCAUAUGGAGGCAGCAUUCUAAGAUCUCACCUCUCCAUGCCUUCCAGGGUAACUAGCUCCUUCAUAAGUUGUGGGAUGCACAGUCUUUGACCAAAAUCACGCACAUGUCCAUCCCUGGACCUAUCUCUGUGGCCAAAGGUAUGAAACAUGUCUGUAGUCUCAAAUUACCCCUCUCCUUCCCAGAGAUGAAAUCUAUCCUUUGUGCAGGGGUGAAGUCCCUGAUGGCAGCAGAUGGAAUAAUGGAUAUAGAAAAGGCAGUCAUCCGAAACCCAUGAUGCCCUUCCUCUCCAUGCUCUUUCCUUUCCUAUCACCUUUUAGUUGGAGACACAUAGAUGUAAAACAAAAUGAAACAAAACUAUACAAAACAAAACAGCCCCCCAGAUCUUGACAGCCUAUUUGACUGCUUUCCAGUGGGGGUCCUCCAAGGUAACCUGUUGUCUCUGACCAUUUCCAUAUGGCAAAAAGGAUGUUUGUACUCUUUCUUGCUGAUGUAAUUCAUUUAUUUUACUUACUCAUUUGCUCAUUCAAUAUAUGCUUCUUUGCCAGGUAGUGUGGUUUUUUUCCCCUCAUCUUUUCUCUUAGGACCAAGUGAAGGAGCUGGGCCUGGUGGGAAGAGUUGAACCCAUGUAAAGCCGGUGUGCUUAGAAAUGUUUGAGAAAUUUUCCCUGCUAAUAUGCAAGCCUGCGGAGGCCUGCCUUAUGGACUUAUAACUCCGCCCACUCUUACCUACAAAUGCCUGGGGAUUUUUAAGAUUGUUAAUUAACGACUCAAAGAUAAUCCUUCGGAAGCCCCACUUGUCAAACCAAGUAUGUUUCCAUGGUAUUUUACAAUUCUCUCCUAGAGAACAAGGUAAUCACUGCCACUUAUUGGAGCACCUAGCAGACAAAAUGUUAUUUAUUUUACUUACAUUAUUUUAUUAAGUCUUUACAACAAAACGCCAAGGUAGGAAUUGAUUUCACCCAUGACAAAAUGAAGGACUGGGGAGGUCAAGUAAACUUCUCAAGGUAGAAAGUGACAAGGGGGCGCCUAGGUGGCUCAGCCAGUUAAGCAUCCGACUCUUGAUAUCAGCUCAGGUCAUGAUCUCAUGGCUCUUGGGAUCGAGCCCUGUGUCAGGGUCUGUGCUGAUGGAGUGGAGCCUACUUGGGAUUAUCUCUCUCCUCUCUCUCUGCCCCUCCGCCUGCUCGCGCUCUCUCUCUCUCAAAAUAAACAAAUAAACUUUAAAGAAAGAAAGAAAGAUAGGAAGAAAGAAAGAAAGAAAGAAAGAAGAAAGAAAGAACCAGGAUGUAAACUCAGAUCUGUCCAAAGCCAAGCCAAUGCUUAUUCCUUGAGCUUAUCGCUUCCAUAGGUAUGCUGUACUCUGUUAGUAAAUGUCAAGUCUUAUUUUCAUUAUUAGGUCGCACUUAACCCCAUUCACCACAUCAGAGUCUAUUCAGUUCAAUUAGUAAGUGUGACAGAGACCCUUCCUGAGUUCACAUUAUAGUUGGGGAAUGAGACUCGCAGAGACAUCUCUACUCUUGGUUGUCAGAGCAAAUUGUAAAAUAUAGCUGAAUGUCAAAUGGAGUGCUGUCAACACUUAGAACCACAGCAUUAAAAUACCAAUGCUAUCGAUAGUAAGUACCCGACCAUACACUGUUCCUACGAUUUCUUUUUCUUUUCACAAUUGUUGGAAGAAAUCUUUUUCUUUUUUUGCCCUGCCUCACUGUUCCGCACGGGGGAACUCCCAUCAGAGCAAUGUGCCUGCCCUAGAAAUGAGUUCUCUGGGGCGCCUGGGUGGCUCAGUCAGUUAGGCGACCGACCUCGGCUCAGGUCAUGAUCUCGCAGAUCGUGAGUUCAAGCCCCUCAUCGGGCUCUGUGCUGAUAGCUCCAAACCUGGGGACUGCUUCGGAUUCCAGGUCUCCCUCUCUCUCUCUGCCCCUCCCCUGCUUGCACUCUGUCUCUCAAAAAUGAAUAAACGUUAAAAAAAAAAAUUAGAAAUGAGUUCUCUGAUUGGUGAAUGACAAGGAUCCCACGGCAAAUGGUGCACGUCCCUUGACAGAAUAAAAGUCAACCACUUAAAAUCUGCAAGGCUGCAAAUCAUCAAAGAUUCAUGCUCUUCCCUCUGCCAGACCAGAGCAAGGCAGUGAUUCCCAGAUAUCUGCUCAGGUGCUCGGUUCCGUAGUUCAGACUGCGGUGUGGGCAUAGAACAUUAGCCAGCCCUGCCCUUUUGGUGGCAGGUAUAAAUCCAUAUUCUGCAAUCAGCUGCCACUUUCACAUCCGUCUGUUGGUCUCCUGUGUCCUCUUUCUCAGAUGCUUCAGAGCGCCAUAGGGGAAGAAGGGAGUGUUAUUGUUUACUGACCUCUUAAAACUCCCCAGAUAUAAAACAUCUAUUUUCUUCUUUAUUUAAAAUUCAGCAACCAUCAUGGCUUAUUACGGAGUCAAAGACACUCAGUGUAAAACAUCUUUGUUAAUAUUUCAAUUUGCCUUGUAAGUGCUCAGCAAUGAUUUACCAAGAAACCCUUUUUAAGACAUGUGCCUACUUUUCCUAGGGCUCUUGGCAGUUUAUGACCGUGGUAAAGGUGUGUGGCCACCUACAUCCAGCCCUCUACCCACUCUGAUUUCAGUCACAGCUGGUGGAUGGUUCUCUGUGAGCUCAGACUGUACCGCCUCCGGGGCCACCUCUCAAUUAAACUACCUGCACUCAAAUCCUGGUUCUGCCUUUGGAGAGACCCAAAGUAAAGUAAUGACAAAAGAGGAUACACUCUACCGAGAAGAAGCAGACUCCUCCUUCCUUGUGGUAGGUGAUCCCAUCCCAACCUAUCCCGAUACACGAGGCAUAUUACACGCACAUCCACACCCACAUACACAUGUGUGCACAUGCAGAUACCACACACACACGUAUACUCACACAGACACACAGAGAUACCUACACACACAAACACGCAUGUGCAGAUACAGAUUAAACACACACGGUGACGCACAUCCAUCAGGCUUCCGGUCAUCGCCUCUGGCCAGAUUUCGUUGUUACCACCUAAGGGCGUAAAGAAACACCACCUCGCCAUCGAAACCAUGUCCCUGAAUGCUGGCCUGGGCUUUUCCGGCUAUACUCUCAACUUGUCCUGUUUACUACAAUCAAGCAACUGGUUCAAGGGGAAGACGACAUCUUAUAACACUGCGGGAAGAUGUCAAGGUCUUUGUUGUGCUGAAUUACAGAUACAGUUCCAAGUUCCCCUGUUGGCUUAUCCCAACUUUGAACAGUGAAGCAAUACUUUCUGACAUUUACUGCCAUCCUUUUCCCAGUUUAGCCAACAGCUUUAUUUUUGCAUCCCGACCCAUACGUUGUUCCUGGUCACCUUCCUCGUCAUUCUUUGGUUUGGGAUGUUGCUGUUGAGUUCCCCUUGUGUUUUUGGAGGAAUAUUUUUUUGUUUCCCAUUUAGGUUCCAGGACUAUUGCUUGAGGUGCUUGCUGAGACCAUUCCUUUGGAAGCAGCUUCCCACACAACCUGUCCCGUGGUCUCACCUAAGCCACAGCCUAGAAUCUGCUCCCAUUUUAUUCCCACGGUAGACUCUUUUCCUCAGAGUCUUGAUAUUUGGCUCCCUGUCACAGGUUGGGUUCACCAGAAGCAUACACUGAGAUUAUCACACAAUGAGUUUUUCAGGGACUGUCCUAGAGAUCAACAACUAGGUGAGGAACAAAAGUGGGCAAAGACAGGCGUGCGGCCGCACAAAUGCAACAGGGCCUCAGCCCACAGAGUCCUGAAGCUGAGAAGGCUCUUCAGAGUUGUCCUGACUUGAGUUGGCCCUGAUUAUCUCCUCGUAGGCCAGUCAUUGGAUGCGGGCUGCUCUGGGAAGAGAUAGUGGCUGGGCUUUGACUCAGUCCUAAAGAGGGCUGACAGCUGAGGGCUAUGGGCUGCCAACAUUCUCAGCAGCUGAAGAAACAAAUCCUUCAGCCCUGAGGGAGUGGGGGAGGGAUCUGGGGAGCAGAGCGCACCCCCCAUAAUCCCUCAUUCUUCCACCAGCCAUUCUCCAAGUGCUGGGCCCUGGGCUCUGUCUAUAGAUCUUCCAGGUGAAAACCAAAGACUCAGCAACAUCUUAAAAAACAAGCAGAAACCCCUUCAAAAAUUGUGGUACAACGUAGUCUUACUUUUUUACAAAACAGAAACUGAAAUGUUAAAUCUUUUUUGUUUGGGAUAAACGAAACGAAAGUCUACGUUCCAAAAUAUAUUUCUGAAACCCAAGGCAUUCUUUUCCAGCUACACUAAACUUUGUGAAUUCCAUAGGAAAUGGAAACUUUUCCCCCCAAAUAAACCUUGAAGCAGUUUGAAAAUAAAGAGGACCUUCCUUUUGAACCGAUGCUAAAAGUCAAGCAGGCCCACAGGCCCUGUGAACCAAACUUUUUAAGAGUUCAAAAUUUGAGAAGAUUGUAACAGCAGAUGUACGGAAGUCUGUGGCAGGGUUUUUAAGUAACUAAGGGAGUAAACUCCCACUUAGAAAAUUAUGCAUUUUUUUUUUCUGAACUUAAAAAUACAUUCAUACAUUUUCUUUUGUAAAUUUUUUAAUUUUUUUGUGUUUGAGGGAGAGAGAGAGCACGCACACACACACACACACACACGGGGGAGGGGCAGAGAGGGAGGGAGAGAGAGAAUCCUAAGCAGGUUUCGUGCUGUCAGCACCGAGCCUAACUCAAAGCUCAAACCUGUGAAUGAUGAGAUCAUGACCUGAGCCGAAAUAGUUGGACAGUCAACCGACUGAGCCACCCAGGUGCCCCACAUUCCUACAUUUUCUAACUUAAAAUGCGUUAAAAUGUCUUUCAGACAUUAUAAACUUAUGUGAAGACAGGAGUACAAACUCAUCUGGAGGUAUGAACAACUCAAUAUUAAGUCAUUGUUGUGGGUUGAGUCGUGGAAUCCCCCCAAGUCCCAAAAAAGGCUAUACUGAAGUCCUAACCCCUAGUACCUCAGAGUGUGACUUUUUUUCAGAGAUAGAAUCUUUCCAGAGGUAAUCAAGUGAAAAAAUGGGGUCAUUAGGGUGGGCCUUAAUCUAAUACAACUGGCGUUUCCAUAAAAAGGGGCGUUGGGGUCAGAAAGGAAAACAGACACAGAGGGAGAGCCAUCUGAAGAUACUAGGGGAAUGCCAUCUACAAGCCAAGGAAUGCCCAAGGCCACCAGAAGCUGGGAGAGAAGACACAGAACAGAUUCUCCCUCAUGGCUCUUGAAGGAACCGACCAUGCAGACACCUUGAUUUUGGACUUCUGGCCUCCAGAACUGUGAGAUGAUGAAUGUCUGUUGUUUUAGCCACAUAUUUGGUGGUACCUUGUGACUGCGGCCCCAGGAAACCAACACAGCUACUCUGACAGCAUCUUCUCCAUUCAGCUCACAUUUCCUUCUUGCAUGAAGGCGGCUCAGAAGUCAAAUGGACUUGAUCUUGGUUCAAUCAUUUGGGCGAGUUUCUUAAUAUCGCCAAGACUAUUUCCUCAUAUAAACUAAGAACAUUAAUAAUACCUACUAGAGGGUUCUUUGGAUUAUUAAAAGAGCUAAAAUAAAUAAGAUCCUCCUUUUCUAGGUGUUAUAAAUUCAAGGGCUGAGGCUCUUGACAGCCCAGUUGACUAUCUUUCAAAAAAUGUUUAUAAAUCUAUUGGCGGUCAGGCUGGUCCUUGUAAUUUGUAUGCCUCCUAGAGAUUCAAGUUCAGCAUCACUUCCUCUGUCCAUUAGUGACCAUUAAUAAUAUUGCUGUUAUUUCUGGGGCGCCUGGGUGGCUCGGUCGGUUAAGCGUCCGACUUCGGCUCAGGUCAUGAUCUCACGGUCCGUGGGUUCGAGCCCCGCAUCGGGCUCCGUGCUGACAGCUCAGAGCCUGGAGCCUGUUUCAGAUUCUGUGUCUCCCUCUCUCUGUGACCCUCCCCUGUUCAUGCUCUGUCUCUCUCUAUCUCAAAAAUAAAUAAAUGUUAAAAAAAAUUAAAAAAAACAAUAUUGCUGUUAUUUCUUAAAAUAUAUAUACCAUUUAAAAUAUAAAUAUAUUAUGUGUGUGUGUGUGUGUGUGUUGCUAUUAUUUCUCUUUAACUCUCAGUGAUCAAAACUGUUAAGCUUCUGAAACGAAACAAUUAUUUAUGUUUUGAGGAAGUCAUAAAUCAGAAAGACAACCUUAGAGCAAGCACCCAGCCUUUCUUGACAUGUCAUAGUGGAUCAGUCAUGGGUCACUGUAGAUUAAUUAGCAGUGUGGGUCACAGUCAGGGAGUCACCCAGCCGGGGACCAGCUUCCAGCCUUUUUAGAGCCAGAUAUGUACAUGGCUUAAAUGUAUUUUUAAAACCAGAUAAUCAUCGUUGCUUUGUGUGGCACAGACUCUUUCAAAUAAUGCCCAGACAUUACGAAACUUCAUCCAGAUGAUCUUUGGACUGUUGGUUAUAUUUGAUUAUUUGAACUAUUUUUCAUUCAUUGACAGAGAUAAUAAAAUACUGAUUAAGCCACAGUGAGAUGCCACUUCACACCUACUAGGAUGGAUACAACGUAAGAAAAAAGAAAGGGAAAAUAGCAAGUGUUGGUGAGGAUACGGAGAAAUUGGAAUCCGUGCACCUUGCCGGUGGAAGCGUAACGGUGCGAUGCUGUGAAAAAGUUUGGUGGUUUCCCCAAAAAGUUUAACACAGAAUUACGAUAUGACCCAGCAAUGCCGGGUCAAUAUGCCCCCCAAAAUUGGAAGCAGGGACUCAAAGAGAUACUUGUGCACCAGUGUUUAUAGUCGCAUCAUUCACAAUAGCCACAAGACGGAAACAACCCCUGUGUCGAUCAACAGAUGAAAGGGGGAAACAGCAUGCUGUACGUGCCCACGCUGGACUAUUAUUCAGCCAUAAAAAAGGAGUGAAGCUCUGAUACAUCUCGCAACACGGAUCAACUCUGAGAACGUUAUACCAGCUGAAAUAAGCCAGACACAAAAGAACAAAUAUGUACGAUUCCACUUACAUGAGAUAUCUAGAAUAGGCAAAUUUACAGGCUCAACAAAGUAGACUCGAGGUUGCCAGGGGUGGGGGGUGUGGGAGGAUGGGAGUUAAUUGCUUGAUGGGUACAGAGUUGCUAUUUGGGGUGAUGGAAAAUUUUAGAAAGGGAUGGUGAUAAUGGCUGUACAACAUCGUGCAUGUGAUUAAUGCCGCUGAACUGCACUUACCGAUGGCAAAUCUCAUGCUGUCUAUCCUUUAUUACAGUAAGAUAAAAAGGAAAGUUGAUUAUAUAAUUCUUCUAUUCUUUUCACACGGAACCUGGGACAUGAACCGAGGAGCUCUAUACACAUUGGAUCAUCUCACGUCACCUUUGUCUUCACACAGUGUCAUGAGAUUUUAUUUUUACGUAAUCUCUGCACCCAUUGUGGGGCUUGAACUCACGACCCCGAGAUCAAGAGUUACGUGCUCCAGCAACUGAGCCAGCAGAGCAUCCCCAAAGCGUUGGUUAUCUUCACUCCCAAUCUGCAGCGUUAGCAGCUAGGAGGUGGAGUGGGGAGGGGAGGGAGCAGUUUUCCUAAAGAGGACUGCAAAUGGCUAUGAGGAAGAGAAUCUGCCCCUCCUGGUGUGUGGCAUCCUUACUGCACCCUUCUGUGUCUCGUCCCUUCCCCUUUGUCUUCUUUUUGACUCCUCAUCAUUUACUGGACUUUUAAACGUUGGCCAUACCCAGGGUUCUGUCCUUCUCACUUCCCUUUUCAUAUUGUACAUCCCUGUGACUGACCCAUCCACGCACAUGGCUUCAGCUACCCCUGGUCCCCAAUGACAUAUUCCAGUCCUGACAGCUCUUAGAGCCAUUAUAUUGUCUCCAGUUGGAUGUCCCCAACUGUAUCCAUCAUCUUGUUCCGAAACCUUAGUUUCUGCUGGAAUGACCGCAUUAACCAAGCAGUCACCCAAGCCAGAAACCUUGGAACCCUCUUGGACUCUCCCCUUUUCUCCUCUGUCUCCGUCUCCAUCUCUGUCUCCGUCUCCUCCUUCUCCCUCUCCGUCUCCUCCUUCUCCCUCUCCUUCUCCCUCUCCUCCUUCUCCCUCUCCUCCUUCUCCCUCUCCCUCUCCUCCUUCUCCCUCUCCUCCUUCUCCCUCUCCCUCUCGCUCUCCCUCUCCUCCUUCUCCCUCUCCCUCUCCUCCUUCUCCCUCUCCCUCUCCCUCUCCCUCUCCUCCUUCUCCUUCUCUCUCUCCCUCUCCUCCUUCUCCUUCUCCUUCUUUUCACCCUCCCUAGUUUUUCUGUCCUGUCAAUUCUAUCUCUGUUACAUGGCUAAUCAUUUUCUUUUCUUUCUCCCACUGUGCUUUGUUCAAUUCCUCCCUAUCAAAACCUACCAGGAUGAAGUGGACUGUAUUUGUCUCCUUGCCUCCAGGCGUAUUUCUCUGCAAUCGUUCUCCAGAAAAUGAUUGGAUGAAUGAAACCACACCUGGUCAUAUUUUUCUUCUGCCUUAAAGCUUUCAGGGGCUAAUGCUUGCUUGCAAGAUAACUUUCAAACAUCCAGGCUUGAUAUGGCCGACAAGUUCAUUCGUGUUCUCGGGGCCACUUUCCUAUACAUACCCUGAGCUGUAGUUAUCCCCGUCAGCUUAAAAUUCCAAAAAUGCACCUUGGCCCCUCUUGCCUUUGUGCUUUGAUAUGUAUUGUUCUCUCCGCCUGGAAUGUCCAUCUAACCCCUCAUCCCCCACCUCUCCCUAAACCUUACAUGUCCUUAGGGAUAUAGCUUAAAUAUAUUCUUUUAGAACUAGGCAUGUCCUGACGGCCCUGGGCUAAUUUUGAAGUUUCUCCUUCAUAACUUUCCUCUAUUAGCCCUAUCAGUAGGGUGCAGAACUCUACUCUACUCUUUAUCAUGAUGUCUUACUACUGAUUUUCCUGGACAGCACUAUCACAAGGCUACUGAGUACAGGUAGGAACUGGGUCAAGCCAUUUGCUACGGAGAAGGAAUGAAACACAUGUUGAAUAAAUGCUCCUUGCCUGGAAAAUUGUCCUUCCUCAGUCCACAUCAUAGGGGGUCAUCAGGCAAUCCCUCCCAGUGCUAAUAGCAAUGCCCCGAGAGCUUCUUGAGACUCCAAGGUUGAAAAGAGAAAUUGGUUGAGAACCAAAAGCCAGAGCAUGGCAGACAGACAUUAGAGACAUAAAAAAGAGAGUAACGGUAAUGAAACUUGAUGAUUCAGUGUGACUGUUUGUCGGGGAAACUGGUAGACAUUUCUCGUUUUUGCUUUCCAGAAAUGUUUUCCCUUUGUACCUUGCUUUGUAUGUCUUUGGAACGCCAACCCUUCUCCAUCGACCCAGCCCUUGGGUUCAGGUGGGACUGAUCUCCGGUUUCCACACCACUGGUAGACACAUGCCCCAGGCCUGUCCAGUCAGUGUUCCAUUUCCCUUUCCCAGCAGUUGGCUCGGGCAUAGGCUCAUGAACCAACCCGGACACUGAAUGACGCUAAGCGCCAGGACUUUCCUCUGGAGCGAAAUGGAAAUUUUCUGUUUUCGCUGAGGUUGGUUGCUGGAACUCUAAGAUAGAAUUACAAACCUGCAGUGGCUGUUUGCCAGCUUGGUCUUCUUCUUGUGGGAAAAGAUUUGAGAAUGAAGCCCGUGGCAAAAGGAGGAAGAGCCGCGGGGCAGAGAAACAAAUUGCUGAUGAUAACGUUUGAGCGCCAAAUCCAACUUUGCAUGAAGUGAAAGCCUGUUUUGUUUUGUUGCUUGUCAUAAAAUAAAUUCUCCUUUUUGAAUAAGGUAAUCCAGUCUGGGUAUCUGUCACUGACACCCAAGGAGGCUUUAUUAGUUCUGAAAUCAGGGUAGUCAGCAAAUCUAGAAAAAAAAAAAAAAUGAAUGCACAGACCCCUGGUUCUGUGGUCCUGUGACAAGGGUAUGUUUCCUUCCAUCUAAAUCAUUUCACCCGGUGACCCUCUGGGCUUGAGGUCAUUGACCCUCUGGACAUGUAGCAGAGGAAAGAGUACCCUAGAGGGAGUUCUGGGUCUCAAACUAUGGCCCACCUAGAUGGGGCACAUCUAUGAGCCACCUGGGUGGCGCAGUUGUUAAGCAUCUGAUUCUUGGUUUCCCCUCAGGGCAUGACCUCACUGUUCCUGAGGUUGGGCUCUCGGCCGACAGGGCAGAGGCUGCUUAGGAUUCCCUCUCUUUCUCUCUCUGUCCCUCCCCUGGCUCUCUCUCUCUCAAAAUAAAUUUAAAAAAUUAAAAACAAAACACAAAAAACAAAAAAGCCCACAGAUGGGGCACAUUUGGUGCCCAUCCCAUUCUCACUCACCAAAAACAUGUUUCAAAAUUGAUUUUGUUUCAUAUUAAUUUUAAUUACUAUGCACACUUGAAUACAUUCUUCUGGUAGACAUUGAAAUAUAGAGAAUGCAAAAAGUCCCCCGUCUUUUCCUUGAUCAUCCCCCUCCAGAUGCCACCCCAUAUUCAGUUUGCAUUUUUAAACACUUAUAACCCAGUAUGGAUGCAAAAAAGAACGUCGAGGUUUGUUUUACAUGGUGGCUAUGGACUGAAUGGAAUCUGUCUGCAUCCACAUGAAGGGUAAAGGCCCAGCUACAGAAUCACCUCCCCUCUCUCUCUGUCCCCCAACCCCAAGGAUAUCUCAACUUGCUCCUUCCUUCAAAUCCCUUCUAGUAAUUUAGCAGUCCUCUCCAAAAGGUAGCUACUGAGCAGUGUCCGGGUAAAAGAAGAAUAAACUAUACUAUGGAUUUUCUCAUUUUUUUUUCCCAUUCAUUUUUAAAAAUUACAUAAGUAAUAUAUAAAUAGGUGCUUAAUGUAAAAGAUCCAGAAAAUACAGAAAUAUAAGGAACAAAAGGGUAAACUCCAGCCUCACUUUACCAUCUCCCCUCCACAUUCUCCGCCCCUCCUCCCCCCCCCCCCCCAAUUAUGUUGUGUACUUUCCAGGUCCUUUUUUCUUUCCACUUUCAUUAUGUGUCUUGCAAAGCAACAGUAUAUUUUAGAAACUUUUCCGCGUCACUGUCCUACAACUAAAGGAUUAGAAAAAACCAGAAAAUGCCUUUAGGUAAUGAGAUACAGGAUAGGCAAGUUUCAAAGGGUGAGGAGGGGCAGGAAAUCUUUGUACACAAGCCUGAAUAAGGAGGGCUGGGCUGUCAGCGUGUUGAGUGUGUAUGGGGCUAAGGACUCAGCAGGGCCAGGCCAAAAGCAAGCCUUCCUGCCUUCCCAGGUUUUCCGUCCCUGCUUUUCAAAUCCUGUUAGUGUCACUGGGGUAUUUAUUUUAAUAAUUAAAAUAAUAUGCACGUAAAACACUGAUUCAAUACAUGAGUGCUAUUUUCUCAUCUUAACAUUUUGACUUAGAGAAUCGUCAAUGGACACUUCACGCCAUUCAGCCAGUUAAUCAGGACAGAGGAGGAAAGAGUGACUCAGACAGAAGACGUGUCUAAAAGGAAACACUGCAUUGACUUCUUUUUUACCGUGUUUACUCAGAAACCUGAGCUUGCCUGACCUAGUGCAGGAAGAAAAGGAAGCCCUGGAAAUACGAUUCCUGCUCUACAGAGAUGGGAAGGUAGCAUGUAGGCAGACUCCUGGUAAAAGGCUGAAUGAGUCUGUUUACGAAAGAUAUAACUCUCGAUUUCCCAAGAGUGAGAAGCUACCUUCCAAGGCUUCAGUGAAUUUCAAUUUGAAAAUCUCCUUUCAUUUUCCUGUGUGUGUAUUAGGACGUUUGAGUUGUGAAUGACCCAACACUGGCUUCAGCAAGCACACACAUGUCCUGACUCAUUUUACCCAUCAAGAUAGUGGUCGAUGCUGACCUCAAGAACCACCACCUUUGGGGGUGUCUCACCUUCAUUUCUUCCCUGGGUUGUGCUGGCCUGAUGGUUUCUGAGAGAGAGUUGAUUUGGACUCGGUAAACUUCGGGCUUAAACCAUCCCAACUCAGCCUCUGUAUAAAGAAGCAAAAUGCUAGAGUUGGAAUGACUGGGCCUGCUCAGAUCAUGUGACUGCCCUUAAACCAAACCGUAGGUAUGGAGGUAUUGAGGGAUAGGACGUUCUGAUGGCAGGUUGGGGUUUUUACUCACCUCCGUGGCCAGUGUGGGGAAGGUUUGGUCACCAGAAACACAACGCACAGGAUGGCGAGGAGCCCGUUCUCAAAGGGAAGUGGUGGCUUUUUUUUUCUUUUUUAAAUAAUGUUUUUAUUUUAUUUAUUUUUGAGAGAGAGAGAGAGAGAGCGAGGUCUUUGUUAUAGCCUAAAGUAUUGAGGGAAACUACUAUUUUUCAGAGCUGCUUUGAUAGCGGCAAUAAGAAGUGUUACAUUGGACGGGGUACCUGGCUGCCUCAAUUGGUAGGGCAUGUGACCGCUGAUCUUGCGGUCAUGAGUUCAAGCCCCACGUUUGGCAUACCGAUUACUUAAGUGCCCAGGCACUAGAAAUUGGAGAUGCUCUAUUGGGUCUCUGGGCCUGUGGUUUUUUUCUCCUUUCGAUGCCUGGCUCGUCUCAGUGGCCAGCAUAUCUCCAGCUGGUGGUAGACAGGCUGACACCAAUGGUGAAUCAGUGCUUCUCAGACUCACAGGAAUCACCUAGGGAUCUUGUUAUGUUACAAUGCAGAUUCUGAUUCAGUAGAUCUGGGGAAGGGCUGGAGAGGCUGCAUUUCGACUAAAUUCCUGGGUGAAGUUGAUGUUGCCUGACCAUGGGAACACAUUUUGAGCAACAAGGUAUUAAAAUCAUGGGAAGGCUUUCCUAAAUAAAUUAGGUGCCCUCACUGUGCUUUUAACCUUUGAUAUUUUCAGCA